RNAcentral lists this ribosomal RNA (451 nucleotides) under uncultured bacterium. RNAcentral's name for it is "bacterial SSU rRNA". It matches the Rfam family "Bacterial small subunit ribosomal RNA", at positions 917 to 1382 of the family's 1533-position model. The record is from RNAcentral.
GGGCCCGCACAAGCAGCGGAGCGUGUGGUUUAAUUCGAUGCAACGCGCAGAACCUUACCUCGGCUUGACAUGCACGUGGUACUGACCUGAAAGGGAAGGGACCCGCGAGGGAGCGUGCACAGAUGCUGCAUGGCUGUCGUCAGCUCGUGCCGUGAGGUGUUGGGUUAAGUCCCGCAACGAGCGCAACCCUUGUCCUUAGUUGCUUUCUCUAAGGAGACCGCCGGUCUAAACCGGAGGAAGGUGGGGAUGACGUCAAGUCAGCACGGCUCUUACGUCGAGGGCUACACACACGCUACAAUGGCCGGUACAACGGGCUGCCAAGGGGUGACCCGGAGCUAAUCCCACCAAAGCCGGUCUCAGUUCGGAUUGCAGGCUGCAACUCGCCUGCAUGAAGUCGGAGUUGCUAGUAACUGCCAGUCAGCACAUGGCAGUGAAUACGUUCCCGGGCCUU